GCUAGUGCUGCACGGACAGCAUGAAAGGUUAUCUUUGACAAGGUUUUAGCUAUUAUUUUCUUCCAGUGAAAUGGUAUUUCUUGAGAAAAAAAGGUCUUUGGAACAAAAUAACAAUAAAUCCUGAUUUAGAUACAUAAACCUGCCAUUGAUAUCACAUAAUAUCAGUGUUCUUUCUCACUCGAUACAGGCGUUUUAAAGAUAAAUGGUAAACCCGAACUGGAAAUCCAUCUGGCCGGCUGCCUGCUCUAAUGAAUAACCCCACUUUGGCGCGUGCAAUGUAAGCAGAAAGUUCUCUCCCGGCCUCUUUCGUCUGUCAUGAAUCUACGAGACAGCCGACAUAAUAUCUGGGCGACAACGGGUGCGCUAACAGUGCAGUCCUGGCUCACAUCGGAAGGAAUUUUACUGAUGGCCGUGAGAACUCUGUCACAAUUCCUUGCUCAAAUGGCAUCACGAUUCAACAUUUAAAGACUCUCUAAGCUGAUUAGUUAAAAGUUUUCUUGAUAAAAAUGGAGAAGAAUUAUAAACAGAAAUGCAGAGAAAUUAGAAAGCUAGUCCUAUGUAAAGAAGGAGCUAGUCCUUUACGUAGGAGCUAGUCUUAUGUAAAGAAGAUUCUACAUACUGAAACACACAGAUGAAUCCAGGAGACUAGCAGGAAAUCACAUUAUCAUCUUUCACUUUUCUCUCCUGAAACUGGAAGGACUAGAUUCUGAAAUAUUUGGGUUUAAUAAACAACAACCAUAAGAAUCCUUUUUCCUCCA
RNAcentral lists this long non-coding RNA (758 nucleotides) under Bos indicus x Bos taurus (hybrid cattle). Its description in RNAcentral is "lncRNA (ENSBIXG00000014711.1)". The record is from RNAcentral. Lineage: Eukaryota; Metazoa; Chordata; Mammalia; Artiodactyla; Bovidae.